GGGUGAAGGAACUAGGCAAAAUGGUACCGUAACUUCGGGAGAAGGUACGCUCUCGACGGUGAAGUCCCUCGCGGAUGGAGCUAUUGAGAGUCGCAGAUACCAGGUGGCUGCAACUGUUUAUUAAAAACACAGCACUGUGCAAAAUCGUAAGAUGACGUAUACGGUGUGACGCCUGCCCGGUGCCGGAAGGUUAAUUGAUGGGGUUAGACUU
Molecule: ribosomal RNA, 211 nt
Filed under: Vibrio parahaemolyticus
Lineage: Bacteria; Pseudomonadati; Pseudomonadota; Gammaproteobacteria; Vibrionales; Vibrionaceae
Description: partial 23S ribosomal RNA
Rfam family: Bacterial large subunit ribosomal RNA
Source: RNAcentral